UGUGUGUAUAUAUGUGUGUGUGUAUAUAUAUAUAUGUAUGUAUAUAUAUAUAUAUAUAUAUUUGAGACAAAUUCACAAUACAAAACUUACUUUUUGCCCUUUAAAAAUUUUCCUGUGUAUUCACAAUCUUGUACAACCAGUAUAUGAUUCUGGAAUAUUUCCAUCACCAUCCCCAAAAACCUGGUACCUCCCAAUCCUCUCUCCUCUCAGCCCCUGGCAACCACUAAUCUGCUGUCUCUAUGGGCUUGCACAUUCUGGACAUUUCCUAUCAGUGGAAUCACACACUACGUGGCCUUUUGUGUUUGGACUCUUUCCCUUAGCAUAAUGUUCUCAAGGUUCAUCCAUG
This is a long non-coding RNA of Lynx canadensis (Canada lynx), 346 nucleotides long. RefSeq lists it as uncharacterized. NCBI's taxonomy places the organism in Eukaryota, Metazoa, Chordata, Mammalia, Carnivora, Felidae. The transcript is spliced from 3 exons. The record is from RefSeq and is a predicted model, not a curated record.